GACGAACGCUGGCGGCGUGCUUAACGCAUGCAAGUCGAACGGAAAGGCCCUGCUUUUGUGGGGUGCUCGAGUGGCGAACGGGUGAGUAACACGUGAGUAACCUGCCCUUGACUUUGGGAUAACUUCAGGAAACUGGGGCUAAUACCGGAUAGGAGCUCCUGCUGCAUGGUGGGGGUUGGAAAGUUUCGGCGGUUGGGGAUGGACUCGCGGCUUAUCAGCUUGUUGGUGGGGUAGUGGCUUACCAAGGCUUUGACGGGUAGCCGGCCUGAGAAGGUGACCGGCCACAUUGGGACUGAGAUACGGCCCAGACUCCUACGGGAGGCAGCAGUGGGGAAUAUUGCACAAUGGGCGGAAGCCUGAUGCAGCAACGCCGCGUGCGGGAUGACGGCCUUCGGGUUGUAAACCGCUUUCGCCUGUGACGAAGCGUGAGUGACGGUAAUGGGUAAAGAAGCACCGGCUAACUACGUG
This 468-nucleotide ribosomal RNA is filed under the name uncultured bacterium. Its description in RNAcentral is "partial 16S ribosomal RNA". It matches the Rfam family "Bacterial small subunit ribosomal RNA", at positions 28 to 507 of the family's 1533-position model. The record is from RNAcentral.